Acanthosepion pharaonis is the source of this 113-nucleotide non-coding RNA. Lineage: Eukaryota; Metazoa; Mollusca; Cephalopoda; Sepiida; Sepiidae. The record is from the annotation of a GenBank genome assembly.
UAUGGCCAUAUCACAUUGAAACACCAGUUCUCAUGCAAUCACUGAAGUUAAGCAAUGUCAAGCCUGGUCAGUAUCUAGAUGUGUGAUCACUUGGGAAUACCAGAGGCUGUAAG